AGUUUACAAUGCUGUUUCAGCUGACAAAUGCUGAAUUCCCAGGAUGUGGCUUGGAGAAAUUUAUAUGAGUGUAUGGUUCUACAAGAUUUUUAUAAAGCUACAUAGAGUACUUAUUCUCCUGAAUGCUUUGUGGAGCUACAGAAACCUGAACCGGUGUUUGAAAUGACAAGUGAAGUCUUGAUCCCACUGACCUGAAUGGCAAAACUCCCACUGUCUUCAAUAAGCCACAUUGCAGCUGAAGGCCAAGGCAUAAUUCACUGAAGUGUUUCCUGAAGCUUACUUGAUUAUGGACAUGAGAAAACUAAAAAGCUGUUUUGCCAUACUUAUUGUGUAGUCUUGUGCUCAGACUGUGAUCAAGGCAGAUUCUCAUAUUUUCAUAGUUAAUUUUGAUUCUCAUUUUAUAUGCAUUUCAUGGGAAAACAUGAAACAAAUUGUAUGUAACCAUAGAUUUCCUUAAAUUACAAAUGAAGUGCAGAUCUCGGUUUCUCAGCUAGAAAACAGCUCAUUCUUCAUCUUAGGAAAAUCUAAAUAAAUUGGGAUAGA
Chelonia mydas (Green sea turtle) is the source of this 543-nucleotide long non-coding RNA. RefSeq lists it as uncharacterized. The transcript is spliced from 3 exons. NCBI's taxonomy places the organism in Eukaryota, Metazoa, Chordata, Testudines, Cheloniidae. The record is from RefSeq and is a predicted model, not a curated record.